AUUGAACGCUGGCGGCAGGCCUAACACAUGCAAGUCGAGCGGUAGCACAAGAGAGCUUGCUCUCUGGGUGACGAGCGGCGGACGGGUGAGUAAUGUCUGGGAAACUGCCUGAUGGAGGGGGAUAACUACUGGAAACGGUAGCUAAUACCGCAUGACGUCUUCGGACCAAAGUGGGGGACCUUCGGGCCUCACGCCAUCAGAUGUGCCCAGAUGGGAUUAGCUAGUAGGUGGGGUAAUGGCUCACCUAGGCGACGAUCUCUAGCUGGUCUGAGAGGAUGACCAGCCACACUGGAACUGAGACACGGUCCAGACUCCUACGGGAGGCAGCAGUGGGGAAUAUUGCACAAUGGGCGCAAGCCUGAUGCAGCCAUGCCGCGUGUAUGAAGAAGGCCUUCGGUUGUAAGUACGUUUCAGCGAGAGGAAGGCGAUUAAGGUUAAUAACCUUAGU
Molecule: ribosomal RNA, 448 nt
Filed under: uncultured bacterium
Lineage: Bacteria
Description: bacterial SSU rRNA
Rfam family: Bacterial small subunit ribosomal RNA
Source: RNAcentral